CCCCGGGAUUCAAGGAGAAGCCCUUCCCUCUGCCCGCCUCACCCCAAGGCCCAGCUGGCCGGGCUCCACAGGGCAUCUGACCUGUGGAUUCAAGGGGGCGACACAGCAUGUAGUACCUUUCAUCCCAAGGGAACCAGUGAGCAAACCUGUUUACAAGCUUUGGUGGAAUGAUUUAACUCUCCUUUGUUGUACAUGAGCAAAAAUAAUUAAAGGUUUUUUCAUAACCAGCACUUGCAGCCCGUUCUGCUUCCCACUGCUGCAAAGUCCUUUCCUGGAGCUUAAACAGUUGAGCCUGAAACUCUGGAAGGCCACAUCACCCACUGACCACACAGCAAACCCUGAUGUGCAACUGAAGCUGUGAAUGAACGUGAAAGGCUGCCAGAGAAGAGCCACAAUUUGCAGGUGAAAAUCAGCGAAAUCUCACUGCCCUAUACAGCAAAGCAUUAGGAUUCAUAGACAAUCUGUCCGACUUUGAGAGGAGACUGUCCAUGCAUUUUGAUGUCACAAAUGUCUUGGAAACCAGAUGUCCGGAAUAUCUAUGUGUUGUUAGCAGGCCAGAAGAGUUUCUUGUCCACUGAGAACCUUGCUUUGCCUCUGUAACCUGAUAGGGUUUACCUGACCAAAGAGAAUUUGCUUCAUACAUAGAGGUGGGUAUUGCCAGGCCUGGUAAAGACCUGAGAUCUUCCGAGGUUUGGAGCUUUGUAUACUGUGGGAACAACUUUACUGCACUGUGCUUUAAGGCCUUUGUAAAAGAACCAACAGGGGUGGAAAAAAAGGCAUGGCUCUGAGGGGCUCAAUCAGCCCUCCCCAGUGCAGUUUUUAUACUUCGUGAUGGGGUGGCAGUGGGUAUCUGUCAGCUGAGUCCUACUUUCCCUUUCCUUUCACCUGUGCUGCCCCUGGUAGCUUUGCACCCUUUCCCUGAGUCUGUGGAAUCCUCUGUCUGUGCACCACAAAGCCUUGAUGCUCCUGUAAGAUAAGCAGAAGGGUAUGUGAGAGGCUGGACUACUCCCUGCCAGCUCAAAGCUCAAACUACUCCCUGGCAGCUCAAAGCAGAGCAGCUUGUGGCUGAAGAGAUGGCAG
This 1080-nucleotide long non-coding RNA is filed under the name Taeniopygia guttata (zebra finch). Its description in RNAcentral is "lncRNA (ENSTGUG00000026137.1)". Lineage: Eukaryota; Metazoa; Chordata; Aves; Passeriformes; Estrildidae. The record is from RNAcentral.